GAUGAACGUUAGCAGAAAGCUUAACACAUGCAAGUCGAAUGCUAGCUUGCUAGCAUGGCAAACGGGCGAGUAACGCGUACUUAACCUGCCUUGAGGUAGAGGAUAACCAUGGAAACGUGGAUAAUCCGCUAUAAGCUCUUAAAGUUGAGAUACUUAAAGAGGAAAGGUAUAUCCGCCUUAAGAGGGGGGUGCGUAUCAACAGCUAGUUGGUAAGGUAAAGGCUUACCAAGGCUAUGACGGUUAGCCGGCCUGAGAGGGUGAACGGCCGCAACGGGACUGAGACACGGCCCGUACUCCUACGGGAGGCAGCAGUGAGGAAUCUUGGACAAUGGGGGGAACCCUGAUCCAGCUAUUCUGCGUGAAGGAUGAAGCUUUUCGGAGUGUAAACUUCUUUUCUGGGGGAAGACGAAUGACGGUACCUCAGGAAUAAGGGGCGGCUAACUACGUGCCAGCAGCCGCGGUAAUACGUAGGCCUCGAACGUUAUCCGGAGUUACUGGGCGUAAAGGGUCUGUAGCCGGAGAUAUAAGUCUAUCUUCAAAUACUGAAGCUCAACUUCAGGAGGGGGUAGAUACUGUAUUUCUAGAGAUACUCGGGGGUUAGUAGAAUUUCCGGUGGAGCGGUGGAAUGCGUUGAUAUCGGAAGGAAUGCCAAAAGUGAAGACAGCUAACUACGUGUAAUCUGACGGUGAUAGACGAAAGCAUAGGUAGCAAACAGGAUUAGAUACCCUGGUAGUCUAUGCUGUAAACGAUGUGAGCUAAGAGUUGGUCGAUAGAUCAGUUCUGAACCUAACGGGAUAAGCUCACCGCCUGGGGAGUAUAGCCGCAAGGCCGAAACUCAAAAGGAUAGGCGGGGGAACACACAAGUAGUGGAUUGUCUCGAUUAAUUGGAUAAUAAGCCAAGAAUCUUACCCAGGCUUGACAUCCUUGGAAUCUGACCGAAAGGUUGGAGUGCCUAGCUUAGCUAGGAGCCAAGUGACAGGUGCUGCAUGGCCGUCGUCAGCUCGUGCCGCAAGGUGUUCGGUUAAUUCCGAUAACGAGCGCAACCCUUGCCCUUAGUUAGAAAUGUCUAAGGGGACUGCUCUGGUAACGGAGAGGAAGGAGAGGACGACGUCAGGUCAUCAUGGCCCUUAUGUCUGGGGCUUCAGAGGCGAUACAAUGGGGCGAAACAAACCGAAGCGAAGGGGUGACCUGGAGCGAAUCGGAUAAAACGUCUCUAAGUACGGAUUGUAGUCUGGAAAUGACUACAUGAAGUUGGAAUUGCUAGUAAUGGUGGAGUCAGAACACCACCGUGAAUAUGU
RNAcentral lists this ribosomal RNA (1298 nucleotides) under uncultured bacterium. RNAcentral describes it as "bacterial SSU rRNA". It matches the Rfam family "Bacterial small subunit ribosomal RNA", at positions 28 to 1371 of the family's 1533-position model. The record is from RNAcentral.